This 27-nucleotide non-coding RNA is filed under the name Mus musculus (house mouse). Lineage: Eukaryota; Metazoa; Chordata; Mammalia; Rodentia; Muridae. The record is from RNAcentral.
UGAGAGAGAUUCUCUUGGUACAUUUGU